AUUACGCAUAUUCAGUAAUGUGUUACUGGGUUAUAUGGAAGCUGGUAGAUGGCACUAAAAGUACCUCCUUUACCAUCCCUUUAACCUCACAAGCGCCAACCCCCGAAUCGCCUUAUGGCAUUACUUCAGGGUUGGCCUUAUUUAGUAACGCUCCUGUACAAGACUGCCACCUAAUGACAAAAUUCGCAACCACUUAGUUGCCAACCAAAUACAUACGCAGCAUAAUGUACUUACAUAUUUAUAACGAUGUCCUAAUUAAAAAAAUAAUUGCAUAUUUUAGAAAUAUUUGUUAUUUCAAUUCUUACAUUAAACGCAACAAUUUUGUCACAUUUCUGCAGUGUCUGUCAAUAAUUAUUUCUUUUUAAAUAAAUCAUAACGGGCAUGAAUAGAAACUAGUUUUACGUAGUAUCUGUUUUAUAAUAAAUAUACAUAUGAGAUGGACUAAACGUAUAGGUUUGUUUGAUAAAGAAACGAACGGAUGAAUUUGUAAUAGUUAGUUGUAUUAAAAUCAGUACAAGUACAAGAGAUAGUGUAUGUCAGUUAUAAUCGUCGUUCACUUAACGUUAUUAUGCCAACCGAAAAAAUAAUAAUAAUAAUAUCCUAUGGAAUACGUUUAUACGUUUAUAUUGGCGGACGUUACGACAAAAAGUUAACCUUCUUAUGUAACUCCGGCUGAAGAUUACAAGAAACGGCAAUAACAAUUUGUUCUAAAUUUAUUUGCCUUUAGAUUUUGUAAACCGAAACAAUCGUUAAUAUCCAAAGGAAAGUAUUUGUCAACUGUACGAUGAUAAAGCUAUAAAUAGAAGAAUAGAUCUCGUUUGAAAAUUAACUUGCAUGGGGACAACGCACGGAUAAAGUACGGUCGGCUCAUCACUAAUAGCCCUUCCUCAAGAUAUUUGCAAUAUAAUUAUAAUUAUAAUUAUAUCUGAUAUUCUGUUCGGCCUGGCAGUCUUACAAAUAUGCUUUUACUCAGUCGUUUUCCUGCCAUUAUAAAGCAUAUCAUAAAGGAUAUAACCUAGCAAACGCGAGGAUGGUACCCCGCUGGGGAUAGCCACAAACAUGUUAAUAUAACUGUUAAAAAAUUCUACCAAAUG
This is a long non-coding RNA of Bombus terrestris (buff-tailed bumblebee), 1094 nucleotides long. RefSeq lists it as uncharacterized. The transcript is spliced from 3 exons. The record is from RefSeq and is a predicted model, not a curated record. NCBI's taxonomy places the organism in Eukaryota, Metazoa, Arthropoda, Insecta, Hymenoptera, Apidae.